UGCAGUCGAGCGGAGUUGAUAGGAAGCUUGCUUCCUUGAUACUUAGCGGCGGACGGGUGAGUAACACGUAGGCAACCUGCCCUCAAGUUUGGGACAACUACCGGAAACGGUAGCUAAUACCGAAUAGUUGUUUUCUUCGCCUGAAGGAAACUGGAAAGACGGAGCAAUCUGUCACUUGGGGAUGGGCCUGCGGCGCAUUAGCUAGUUGGUGAGGUAACGGCUCACCAAGGCGACGAUGCGUAGCCGACCUGAGAGGGUGAUCGGCCACACUGGGACUGAGACACGGCCCAGACUCCUACGGGAGGCAGCAGUAGGGAAUCUUCCGCAAUGGGCGAAAGCCUGACGGAGCAAUGCCGCGUGAGUGAUGAAGGUUUUCGGAUCGUAAAGCUCUGUUGCCAGGGAAGAACGCUUGGGAGAGUAACUGCUCUCAAGGUGACGGUACCUG
Molecule: ribosomal RNA, 445 nt
Filed under: Paenibacillus xylanexedens
Lineage: Bacteria; Bacillati; Bacillota; Bacilli; Caryophanales; Paenibacillaceae
Description: bacterial SSU rRNA
Rfam family: Bacterial small subunit ribosomal RNA
Source: RNAcentral